This 333-nucleotide long non-coding RNA is filed under the name Gallus gallus (chicken). Lineage: Eukaryota; Metazoa; Chordata; Aves; Galliformes; Phasianidae. The record is from RNAcentral.
GCCAAAUGUUCUCUUUUCUCUGAUUCUGUUCACUUUGGGGAAAAUCUGAAGACUAAGUGGGCAGAAGAGAGGAACCUGUGGACUGCUGCUAUCUGGGCUCUUGCACGAAUGACAAUGAAGCCAAAUGUACAGAUAUUAUCAGUUUCCUGCACUUCAACAGAAGGAUCAUCUAUGGGAAGAAGAAAGACGGUGAAUUGUAAGAACAGUAGGGACGAUGUGUAGGCAGAAUUGAUGCAUAUUAUGGACCAGGAGUUUAGAAAGUGGAUACACGCUUCCAUCAGCCACCAGGGAUGUUCAGAAGUGGAAAAAACCUGUCCCUUUGCUGCCAUUCAC